UCCCGUCAAUUUCUUUGAGUUUUAAUCUUGCGACCGUACUCCCCAGGCGGUCAACUUCACGCGUUAGCUACGUUACCAAGUCAAUGAAGACCCGACAACUAGUUGACAUCGUUUAGGGCGUGGGCUACCAGGGUAUCUAAUCCUGUUUGCUCCCCACGCUUUCGUGCUUGAGCGUCAGUAUUGGCCCAGGGGGCUGCCUUCGCCAUCGGUAUUCCUCCACAUCUCUACGCAUUUCACUGCUACACGUGGAAUUCUACCCCCCUCUGCCAUACUCUAGCCCGCCAGUCACAAAUGCAGUUCCCAGGUUAAGCCCGGGGAUUUCACAUCUGUCUUAGCGAACCGCCUGCGCACGCUUUACGCCCAGUAAUUCCGAUUAACGCUUGCACCCUACGUAUUACCGCGGCUGCUGGCACAA
RNAcentral lists this ribosomal RNA (415 nucleotides) under Paraburkholderia xenovorans. RNAcentral describes it as "partial 16S ribosomal RNA". Lineage: Bacteria; Pseudomonadati; Pseudomonadota; Betaproteobacteria; Burkholderiales; Burkholderiaceae. The record is from RNAcentral.